GAACUUGUAGCUCAAUUGGUUAGAGCAGCUGGUAAUUACUUGCUAAUUAUUAUGCGAUUUGCAGGUUCGAGUCCUGCCAAGUUCGCCA
Molecule: transfer RNA, 88 nt
Filed under: Bacillus taeanensis
Lineage: Bacteria; Bacillati; Bacillota; Bacilli; Caryophanales; Bacillaceae
Description: tRNA-OTHER
Rfam family: tRNA
About the family: Transfer RNA (tRNA) molecules are approximately 80 nucleotides in length. Their secondary structure includes four short double-helical elements and three loops (D, anti-codon, and T loops). Further hydrogen bonds mediate the characteristic L-shaped molecular structure. tRNAs have two regions of fundamental functional importance: the anti-codon, which is responsible for specific mRNA codon recognition, and the 3' end, to which the tRNAs corresponding amino acid is attached (by aminoacyl-tRNA synthetases). tRNAs cope with the degeneracy of the genetic code in two manners: having more than one tRNA (with a specific anti-codon) for a particular amino acid; and 'wobble' base-pairing, i.e. permitting non-standard base-pairing at the 3rd anti-codon position.
Source: RNAcentral